This 562-nucleotide ribosomal RNA is filed under the name Stenotrophomonas pavanii. RNAcentral describes it as "bacterial SSU rRNA". It matches the Rfam family "Bacterial small subunit ribosomal RNA", at positions 364 to 917 of the family's 1533-position model. The record is from RNAcentral. Lineage: Bacteria; Pseudomonadati; Pseudomonadota; Gammaproteobacteria; Lysobacterales; Lysobacteraceae.
UGCCUCCAUGGGCGCAGCCUGAUCCAGCCAUACCGCGUGGGUGAAGAAGGCCUUCGGGUUGUAAAGCCCUUUUGUUGGGAAAGAAAUCCAGCCGGCUAAUACCUGGUUGGGAUGACGGUACCCAAAGAAUAAGCACCGGCUAACUUCGUGCCAGCAGCCGCGGUAAUACGAAGGGUGCAAGCGUUACUCGGAAUUACUGGGCGUAAAGCGUGCGUAGGUGGUUGUUUAAGUCUGUUGUGAAAGCCCUGGGCUCAACCUGGGAACUGCAGUGGAAACUGGACAACUAGAGUGUGGUAGAGGGUAGCGGAAUUCCCGGUGUAGCAGUGAAAUGCGUAAAGAUCGGGAGGAACAUCCAUGGCGAAGGCAGCUACCUGGACCAACACUGACACUGAGGCACGAAAGCGUGGGGAGCAAACAGGAUUAGAUACCCUGGUAGUCCACGCCCUAAACGAUGCGAACUGGAUGUUGGGUGCAAUUUGGCACGCAGUAUCGAAGCUAACGCGUUAAGUUCGCCGCCUGGGGAGUACGGUCGCAAGACUGAAACUCAAUGAAAAUUGACGGA